RNAcentral lists this ribosomal RNA (576 nucleotides) under uncultured bacterium. RNAcentral's name for it is "bacterial SSU rRNA". It matches the Rfam family "Bacterial small subunit ribosomal RNA", at positions 102 to 674 of the family's 1533-position model. The record is from RNAcentral.
ACGGGUGAGUAAUGUCUGGGAAACUGCCUGAUGGAGGGGGAUAACUACUGGAAACGGUAGCUAAUACCGCAUAACGUCGCAAGACCAAAGAGGGGGACCUUCGGGCCUCUUGCCAUCAAAUGUGCCCAGAUGGGAUUAGCUAGUAGGUGGGGUAAUGGCUCACCUAGGCGACGAUCCCUAGCUGGUCUGAGAGGAUGACCAGCCACACUGGAACUGAGACACGGUCCAGACUCCUACGGGAGGCAGCAGUGGGGAAUAUUGCACAAUGGGCGCAAGCCUGAUGCAGCCAUGCCGCGUGUAUGAAGAAGGCCUUCGGGUUGUAAAGUACUUUCAGCGGGGAGGAAGGUGUUGUGGUUAAUAACCGCAGCAAUUGACGUUACCCGCAGAAGAAGCACCGGCUAACUCCGUGCCAGCAGCCGCGGUAAUACGGAGGGUGCAAGCGUUAAUCGGAAUUACUGGGCGUAAAGCGCACGCAGGCGGUCUGUCAAGUCGGAUGUGAAAUCCCCGGGCUCAACCUGGGAACUGCAUUCGAAACUGGCAGGCUAGAGUCUUGUAGAGGGGGGUAGAAUUCCAGGU